Long non-coding RNA from Chinchilla lanigera (long-tailed chinchilla), 2179 nucleotides. RefSeq lists it as uncharacterized. The record is from RefSeq and is a predicted model, not a curated record. The transcript is spliced from 3 exons. Lineage: Eukaryota; Metazoa; Chordata; Mammalia; Rodentia; Chinchillidae.
CCAAGACAAGAGGGCAGCCAGCCGUCUGAGGGGAGAGAAGAAACCGGGGGAAAUAGCUCCUUUCUGCUUCCACUGUGCUCCUUCCCCUGCCCAGGUAGUGGGGAUCAUGGCCAGAUCCAUGAUGUUUGGGGCCAGAAAAGGGACCUCCUGAUUAGGCCUGAGAGGGAAGAUCAACCUGAGUGGAAAGAAGAGGACUCUGGAUGGGGCGAAGACUCCUCAGGACAAAUUCAGGGAUGCCCGAGGGAAAGUGGAAGGUUCUACGGGAGACACAGAUGAAUCAGACACAGCCACUGCCCUUGCAGUGCUCACGGACCAGCAGGGAGGAGCGAUGUGAGUUCAAGCAAUAAGAGUUAAAUAAUAACGGCGCUGCACACAGAAGGCCCACCUGGAGCCUGGACUUGCGCUGAGCCUCAGCCAUCCAUUUAAUAAUUAUUAAUCAAGUGCCCAGUAUGUGCCAAGAACUUCUUGCUUCUGAUGCCUGGGAUAAAAUAAUGAGCAACGCCAGACUCCUCUAGCGCAUGGAGCUUUUUUCUAUCUGACAGCAGUGGUGAGGAUGGAGACACACAAUAAAUAAAUAAACAAAGAAGCCUGAUACACUGGAGGUGAUAAACAAUGCAAAGAAAACAGAGAGGAAUAAGACAGCCAGCCUGAGUGGUCUGGGAAAGUCCCCGCCGUGAAUGAUGAGAGGAGAACACGCGGAUGGAACACAUAGGAAGAUGCUUCCAGGCUGAGGGUGCUGCAGUGGGAAAGGCCUGAGCAGGUUUGGGCCGUGUGAGGAGCACUUCUGCCUGGAGGCCAGCUGCAGAGUGAGGGAUGGAGCAGGGCAGGAAAUGAGAUCACAGAAGUGUAUCAGACCAAGGGAGAACUUGGGGGUUGAUUGUAAGAAUGAUGGAAAUUUCCUGGAGGAUGUCAGAGCAGAGGAUUAAUGUUAUCUGAUUCACAUUCGCAGAGAAUCACUCUGGCAUGGGGUGGGAACAGAGUUUAGGGCCAGAGUGGGAGCAGAUGGCUGGUGAGAGGGUGUACAGGUCAGGCACCACUAAUCCCAUCAUACAGAGGGGGCAAGAUGAAGCCGGGGGCAAAAAUGCAUCCCUGCUUUCAAGCAGAAAAACAAAAGGACAAAGCCAGGAUGCUGUGGCGUUACAAUUCCUGCCAUUUGCCCCUGAGAACUUCCAUCUCCCUGUUAGCCAGAGUAAAAUGCCGAAAGGGACCUCACUGUGUGUGCUGCCGGUAUCUCACGCCUGAGUUCAGAGGAGGAAGCGAGCCGCUGCUGAUGAGAGACAAGCGAGGCAGAAGUGAUCAUCAGGUGACCCUCAAAGAACAGAUGUGUUUGGUCCGCUGGAGAAAGAAGAGGAUGCGUCCUAGACAUAAAUGGUAAUGAAAACCAAGGCCAAGAACUGGGAAAAGAAGAAAUGAUGCAGUUCAGGGAGACUAGACUUUGGGGACCUCUCAGAGAGGCGAGACAAGAGACAGAGCAGGUCACCAGACACAAUGGGUGUACAAUGCUAAUUUGAAGAGUUGACAGGGAAGCAUGAAAUGGAUCCAGUCUGGCAGUGGCAACACACAGGCUGCUUUAUAGUGAGAAGCCGAAAUACCCCAGUGCUGGCUCCUCAGAGCACCCCCAGGAUAGGGUUGGAGGAUGUCCAGCAGGGGGAUGUCCACAUGCAUCUGGCCAACUGGGCAAGGGGUGUGUCAUUGUUGAAAGUAGUGAAAACAGAAGCAGUGGAAGAGUUCUUUCUCUAGAGAUGGUUUCAGACAUGGUGCAGUAAAAGAUGGAGGAAUUUGUUUUUGUCAGCACUCUCAGUAUUUACAGUCAGUCACGUACAAACCUAAAUACUUCAGAAAUGUGAAAUACUCAUAAUCCUAGGAGAAAACGUUUCCAGCGUUACCUGUGUUUUUCAGAUGGGAGAACUUAGGCACACCAGCGUCCUUAGCGAGUAGAGUCCUGGAUUCCAAUCCAGUAAGUUUGGCUGGAGUUCCUUCCUCAGAUAAUCAAGCGAUGACAUCAUCCUCCUGGAUGUCAGUAUCAAAACAGUGCUCUGCAGGUGAUUGAGCUGCCCACAUUGCUUGAGUUGAAGAAGACUGGAGAGGGACGGAGUGGUGUGUGUAUAACCUCAGCACUUGGGAGGCUGAGGCAGGACAAUCGGAAGUUUGAGACUAGCCUCGGGUACACCCCCACCCU